This 372-nucleotide ribosomal RNA is filed under the name uncultured bacterium. RNAcentral describes it as "bacterial SSU rRNA". It matches the Rfam family "Bacterial small subunit ribosomal RNA", at positions 527 to 896 of the family's 1533-position model. The record is from RNAcentral.
GUAGGGUGCAAGCGUUAUCCGGAUUUAUUGGGCGUAAAGGGCUCGUAGGCGGUUCGUCGCGUCUGGUGUGAAAGUCCAUCGCUUAACGGUGGAUCUGCGCCGGGUACGGGCGGGCUGGAGUGCGGCAGGGGAGACUGGAAUUCCCGGUGUAACGGUGGAAUGUGUAGAUAUCGGGAAGAACACCAAUGGCGAAGGCAGGUCUCUGGGCCGUUACUGACGCUGAGGAGCGAAAGCGUGGGGAGCGAACAGGAUCAGAUACCCUGGUAGUCCACGCCGUAAACGGUGGAUGCUGGAUGUGGGGCCCUUUCCACGGGUUCCGUGUCGGAGCUAACGCGUUAAGCAUCCCGCCUGGGGAGUACGGCCGCAAGGCUA